UGGAGUCCUUGAGGAGGUCCUUGAAGUCACUGGGGGGUUAGAAGGUACCUGAGGAGGGUCCUGGAGUCCUUGAGGAGGUCCUUGAAGUCACUGGGGGGUUAGAAGGUACCUGAGGAGGGUCCUGGAGUCCUUGAGGAGGUCCUUGAAGUCACUGGGGGGUUAGAAGGUACCUGAGGAGGGUCCUGGAGUCCUUGAGGAGGUCCUUGAAGUCACUGGGGUGUUAGAAGGUACCUGAGGAGGGUCUUGGAGUCCUUGAGGAGGUCCUUGAAGUCACUGGGGUGUUAGAAGGUACCUGAGGAGGGUCUUGGAGUCCUUGAGGAGGUCCUUGAAGUCACUGGGGGUUAGAAGGUACCUGAGGAGGGUCCUGGAGUCCUUGAGGAGGUCCUUGAAGUCACUGGGGGGGUUAGAAGGUACCUGAGGAGGGUCUUGGAGUCCUUGAGGAGGUCCUUGAAGUCACUGGGGGGUUAGAAGGUAUCUGAGGAGGGUCUUGGAGUCCUUGAGGAGGUCCAAAGGGUCCUUGAGAGGAUUUUAAAGGUCCUUGAAUAAACUCAAAGGCCCUUGAAGAGGUCCUGGAGAUCACUGGGGGAUUAUAAGGUCAUUGAGGAGGGUCCUUGAAUCCUUGAGGUAACUCAGAUGGUCCUUGAAGAGGUCCUGGAGAUCACUGGGGGAUUAUAAAGUCAUUGAGGAGGGUCCUGGAGUCCUGGAGUCGGCUGUCUGUACUGUUGCCAUGGUUACCUGCAGCUGAUUUAAGGGUGUUUGACCUGAACUACGACUGAUUUUAACACCUGACAUCCAAUCAGAGAGCUGCGUGUCGCUCUCUCUCUCUCCGUGCAACAGUGAGGCUCUCUCGCCCCGCAGACACUAAACCAGUUAAUCACCAAUAAUCAAUCACAUCAAUC
Dicentrarchus labrax (European seabass) is the source of this 899-nucleotide long non-coding RNA. RefSeq lists it as uncharacterized. NCBI's taxonomy places the organism in Eukaryota, Metazoa, Chordata, Actinopteri, Moronidae. The transcript has 3 exons. The record is from RefSeq and is a predicted model, not a curated record.